Molecule: ribosomal RNA, 253 nt
Filed under: uncultured bacterium
Lineage: Bacteria
Also listed under: 2 other names
Description: partial 16S ribosomal RNA
Rfam family: Bacterial small subunit ribosomal RNA
Source: RNAcentral
GACGAAGGGGGCUAGCGUUGUUCGGAAUUACUGGGCGUAAAGCGCGUGUAGGCGGUUUUCCAAGUUGGGUGUGAAAGCCUUGGGCUUAACCCAAGAAAUGCACUCAGUACUGGAAGACUAGAGGACCGGAGAGGAUAGUGGAAUUCCCAGUGUAGUGGUGAAAUACGUAGAGAUUGGGAAGAACACCAGUGGCGAAGGCGGCUAUCUGGACGGUUUCUGACGCUAAGACGCGAAAGCGUGGGGAGCAAACAGG